Molecule: non-coding RNA, 72 nt
Organism: Phrynosoma platyrhinos (Desert horned lizard)
Lineage: Eukaryota; Metazoa; Chordata; Lepidosauria; Squamata; Phrynosomatidae
Source: the annotation of a GenBank genome assembly
GCCAGCGUGGUGUCAUGGUUUGGAUGUUGGAUUAGGAGACUGGAGAUCAGGGUUCAAAUCCCUGCUCUGCCA